This 433-nucleotide unclassified non-coding RNA is filed under the name soil metagenome. RNAcentral describes it as "partial contains 5.8S ribosomal RNA, internal transcribed spacer 2, and large subunit ribosomal RNA". The stretch from base 1 to 120 matches the Rfam family "5.8S ribosomal RNA", at positions 35 to 154 of the family's 154-position model. The record is from RNAcentral.
GAUGAAGAACGCAGCGAAAUGCGAUACGUAAUGUGAAUUGCAGAAUUCAGUGAAUCAUCGAAUCUUUGAACGCAUAUUGCGCUCUCUGGUAUUCCGGAGAGCAUGUUUGUUUGAGUAUCAGUAAACACCUCAACUUCCAUAUCUUUUUUGAAAUGGGAGUUGGACUUGAGUGAUCCCAACGCUUUUCCUCACCGAAAAGUGGCGGGUUACUUGAAAUGCAGGUGCAGCUGGACUUUUCUCUGAGCUAUAAGCAUAUCUAUUUAGUCUGCCUAAAAAACAGAUUAUUACCUUUGCUGCAGCUAACAUAAAGGAGAUUAGUUCUUGUGCUGACUGAUGCAGGAUUCACAAAGACAGGCUUCGGCCGACUUUGUAAACUCGAUCUCAAAUCAAGUAAGACUACCCGCUGAACUUAAGCAUAUCAAUAAGCGGAGGA